Molecule: ribosomal RNA, 253 nt
Filed under: uncultured bacterium
Lineage: Bacteria
Description: partial 16S ribosomal RNA
Rfam family: Bacterial small subunit ribosomal RNA
Source: RNAcentral
UACGUAGGUGGCAAGCGUUGUUCGGAAUUAUUGGGCGUAAAGGGCGCGUAGGCGGUUUGUUAAGUCGGUCGUGAAAGCCCGGGGCUCAACCCCGGAGGGUCGACCGAUACUGGCAGACUAGAGUACAGAAGAGGUAACUGGAAUUCCCGGUGUAGCGGUGAGAUGCGUAGAUAUCGGGAGGAACACCAGAGGCGAAGGCGGGUUACUGGGCUGAUACUGACGCUGAUGCGCGAAAGCCAGGGGAGCAAACGGG